Molecule: long non-coding RNA, 326 nt
Organism: Haliotis rubra (blacklip abalone)
Lineage: Eukaryota; Metazoa; Mollusca; Gastropoda; Lepetellida; Haliotidae
Exons: 3
Source: RefSeq, a predicted model, not a curated record
CACUCGGGGGGACAAACAGGUAUAUGUUGAUCAUUACAGUCGGGGAGACAAACAGGUAUAUGUUGAUCAUUACAGUCGGGGAGACAAACAGGUAUAUGUUGAUCAUUACAGUCGGGGAGACAAACAGGUAUAUGUUGAUCAUUACAGUCGGGGAGACAAACAGGUAUAUGUUGAUCAUUACAGUCGGGGAGACAAACAGGUAUAUGUUGAUCAUUACAGUCUGGGAGACAAACAGGUAUAUGUUGAUCAUUACAGUCAGUGGGAUUCACGGGUAUAUGUUGAUCAUUACAGUCGGGAAGACAAACAGGUAUAUGUUGAUCAUUACA